UUGGAGGGCAAGUCUGGUGCCAGCAGCCGCGGUAAUUCCAGCUCCAAUAGCGUAUAUUAAAGUUGUUGCAGUUAAAAAGCUCGUAGUUGAAUUUCGGGGUCAGUAGGUCGGUCAUGCCACUGGUAUGUACUGGUCUCACUGAUUCCUCCUUCCUGAUGAACUGUAAUGCCAUUAAUUUGGUGUUGCAGGGAAUCUGGACUGUUACUUUGAAAAAAUUAGAGUGUUUAAAGCAGGCUAACGCCUGAAUACAUUAGCAUGGAAUAAUGAAAUAGGACGUUCGAUCCUAUUUUGUUGGUUUCUAGGAUUGACGUAAUGAUUAAUAGGGAUAGUUGGGGGCAUUAGUAUUCAAUUGUCAGAGGUGAAAUUCUUGGAUUUAUUGAAGACUAACUACUGCGAAAGCAUUUGCCAAGGAUGUUUUCAUUAAUCAAGAACGAAAGUUAGGGGAUCGAAGACGAUCAGAUACCGUCGUAGUCUUAACCAUAAACUAUGCCGACUAGGGAUCGGAUGAUGUUAAUUUUAUAAUGACUCAUUCGGCGCCUUACGGGAAACCAAAGUGUUUGGGUUC
RNAcentral lists this ribosomal RNA (565 nucleotides) under uncultured Glomeromycotina. RNAcentral describes it as "SSU rRNA". It matches the Rfam family "Eukaryotic small subunit ribosomal RNA", at positions 548 to 1114 of the family's 1831-position model. The record is from RNAcentral. Lineage: Eukaryota; Fungi; Glomeromycota.